CCUCAGCUUGCAGACAGCCUAUUGUGGGACCUUGUGAUCAUGCAUCUGUGUGCACCAAUGCAGAAAAGACGGGGACUAUGAGGAAGGAAAAUGUUGCAUCAGGAAGGGCUGCUGGCACAUCUGUGUCCCUCCGCCCCCUUCGUCCCCAAGCAG
This 153-nucleotide non-coding RNA is filed under the name Pongo abelii (Sumatran orangutan). Lineage: Eukaryota; Metazoa; Chordata; Mammalia; Primates; Hominidae. The record is from RNAcentral.